UACGGAGGGUGCAAGCGUUAAUCGGAAUUACUGGGCGUAAAGCGCAAGCAGGUGGCUGAGUCAGUCGAUUGUGAAAGCCCUGGGCUUAACCUGGGAAUUGCAGUCGAUACUACUCGGCUCGAGUAUGGGAGAGGGCAGUGGAAUUCCCGGUGUAGCGGUGAAAUGCGUAGAUAUCGGGAGGAACAUCAGUGGCGAAGGCGGCUGCCUGGCCCAAUACUGAUACUCAGGUGCGACAGCGUGGGGAGCAAACAGG
RNAcentral lists this ribosomal RNA (253 nucleotides) under uncultured bacterium. RNAcentral describes it as "partial 16S ribosomal RNA". It matches the Rfam family "Bacterial small subunit ribosomal RNA", at positions 524 to 776 of the family's 1533-position model. The record is from RNAcentral.